AUAAUGUCAUCAUGACAGGGAGAGUACAGUGAAGGAGAUCAGCUGGAACCUUUUCUUUCCUCCGUCCGGAAAGGACCCUGGCUGCACUAACGGCCCAAGCAGAUGGAGAUUGCAGGCGAUUUUUAGAUGCAUCGCAUGGUUUAGCCAAAAUGAAGAUGGCUUGGGGGCACCAUCUUCUGUCAAGGUGUAAGAUUCCUGAGCGCGGGAGGCUCACAGAUGCCUCACACCGAAGGCAGACGGACUGAAACAGAGAGAGCACCAAGGAAGUGGCAGCCAGGCCUCAGGGAGUGCUCCCCAGGCUGACCUGCUGAGUGGGGCACCUGCACAAGCAGCUACGGGGGAAGCAUAUCAUUUUGGCUGCUACGGGCAAUCAGCCCUUCACAGAAUCCGAGGACUGAAAGAAAACUCCUCCGCUGUCACUUGAGGCUGACCAACUCCCUGUUUAAGUAAAAGCAGCUAGUUCCCAGUUCCACAGUGAGGCCAACCAAUACAAUGUGAGGACGGUGGUACACCAAAGGGAAGAGGCCUGGGUUCUCAGUCACCACGGGAAGGAAAGUUACCCUCAGCCCGGCAACUGCCCACUUAACCGACACGUUAAAACACGUUUUAUGGUAUUGAGCCACUGAAAUCCUGCGGUUUCCUUUUUUACAGCAAGA
Molecule: long non-coding RNA, 656 nt
Organism: Eptesicus fuscus (big brown bat)
Lineage: Eukaryota; Metazoa; Chordata; Mammalia; Chiroptera; Vespertilionidae
Exons: 3
Source: RefSeq, a predicted model, not a curated record